RNAcentral lists this ribosomal RNA (239 nucleotides) under uncultured bacterium. RNAcentral's name for it is "partial 16S ribosomal RNA". It matches the Rfam family "Bacterial small subunit ribosomal RNA", at positions 116 to 354 of the family's 1533-position model. The record is from RNAcentral.
CGUGAGGAACCUGCCUUGGAGUGGGGAAUAACAGCCAGAAAUGGCUGCUAAUACCGCAUAAUGCAGUUGGGUCGCAUGGCUCUGACUGCCAAAGAUUUAUCGCUCUAAGAUGGCCUCGCGUCUGAUUAGUUUGUUGGCGGGGUAACGGCCCACCAAGACGACGAUCAGUAGCCGGACUGAGAGGUUGGCCGGCCACAUUGGGACUGAGACACGGCCCAGACUCCUACGGAAGGCAGCAG